This 356-nucleotide long non-coding RNA is filed under the name Bos taurus (domestic cattle). RNAcentral describes it as "long non-coding RNA NONBTAT023440". Lineage: Eukaryota; Metazoa; Chordata; Mammalia; Artiodactyla; Bovidae. The record is from RNAcentral.
AUAAAGCUGAUGGCUUGAUUAGUCGCUCAAACUCUGGCUUAUAUCAUCUUACCAAAGCUUACCCUCAAUAUACAAAAAAUAGAGGUUAUGGAGGUUGCUUAGGUCAUGGUCAAUAACUGGGAAGGAAACCCAGGCUUCUCAGACACAAGACAUGCCAAACUUUUCAAAGUCAAGGCCAUCUCAUUUUCCUGCUUCUGUCUCUCUGAUAAAGCAUACUUUUGCUCUGUCACUAAUAGCCACUCUGCAAUACACUACCCUUGACCAGCUGCCCCCAGGUGUCCCCAUUGCCAGUGGGCCUGGUUGUCAUGAAACUACUGAUUAAAGAUUUUAAGACUGGCUUAGGCAAAACAUGCCAG